AUGUCAUCUUUGGGCCAAAAGAUGACAUUAUCGCCCUUGCAGUUGUGGAGAUAUAAUCUAUUUACUUUUGUUAUGUUCUUUCCUGAACAAAACUUUUCCCCUGAUAUCAAAAAUGGUAUAGAAUAUCGAUCUUUUUCCAGGAAUAGUAUUGAAGUUAGAAAAUCCAGUAUCGUGACUGACAACCCUACUAGAAACGCGAUUGUGAUUAUUCAGUUAGAGCUACAAGAAACUUAAAAGUUAAAAAGACAUAUCUUUGCUACUACCUCUGACAUUUAGUCAUGUACAUUUGCAUAAAAUCAUGCAGGUCUACAUAUAACUUGGCGAUAGCUUUAAUAGGUUGGAACGGCGGACUGAAAUCACUUCAUGGCACGAUGUGAGCGCUCGAUAAAUAAGUUAACAAAGAGAAGUUUGUUAUUUUUUAUGUGCUGAAGCUAACAUUCAGCUUCAGUCUGAGCUAGGAGAAUUUUUCUGAGCCCCCCCAAAACCAGGCCGGGUGCCUGGCAAAAAGAGGCCCGUUCACGAUUCUGAUUAUAAUUUGGGCAAGUGAACAUUACAUUCAGGCAAGUUGAACCUGACCUGUACUUGCCCGAUGGGCAAGUGCUUUUGAAACCUUAGUGUCAACCCCUGCAUAAGGCACUAAGUCCCCUCUGCCGCUCACACCCCCCUGACACUUUUAAUCAGCUGAGGGCGUUUGCCUGAGUCUCAUAGUAUUAGAACAUGUUGUACUUGUUUAUUAGCUCACGUUGUUAUGGCAAUGAAUACGCCCUCAGCUGAUAAACUAAUGCCAGCUUUUUUUUUCAACAGAAAAUUAUCACCCAUAUCAACAUAUAUUUGAUAUUUUCUGCUCCUUGCACCUAAUCAUGCUUAUCAUGCUACGCAGCAUUACAAGGCUCUGCUGACUAAAACAUGAAUCAAUUCAAGAAGAGGCAUAUAUAGAAUCGUCUUGUGGUCAACUGUCAUUUAAUAGACAUCUGACAGAUUAUGUCAAGGUUUUAAAAUUAUAGUAUUAUUAUUACCAGGUCACGUUAUAACACAGCUGGAAAUCGUGGAUUUUCUAAUAAAGACUAGCUAGCCUCUUUGACAGGCAAAACAGCAGAAACGAUGUUAGUUGCGCUCGUGCUGCAUUUUUGGUUUUGUCAAACAGGAGACGCCCACCCACCAAUCCGAGGUUAGAGAUUCCUGAAGGAAGGUUGCACUCGAUUUCACUAGCCCAUUUGAGCCUGUUCAUUAGUGUACAGCAUCCAUCCUCUCAUUGCUUGUGUAAAAAAAAACAGUAGAAUAUUAGAUUUGAGGACGAAACGAUAGGGUGGGCUAAGGCAAGUUUUUUUUCAAAAAGGUCUAGCUUCGCCACCGAUGGCAACGCUAUUGAAAUUGUUCCUAAAUGAAAAUCUUAAAAAAUAAGAGAUAUAUUUUUCAAAAUUAAAGGUUGUAGUAGGACGAUGAAGAGGCCAUGCCUCUAUGGAACAAGUUUUGUGGCUCUAGAGUCAAUAAUGGCGACGCUAUUGAAAUUUUACCAUUGUGGUCGUUUUCAGUUUUGCACUUUGCAUACGGUCGCUAAGCUCGCGGCUGAAAGCCGACUGCUCGUAGAAGCCAAUGCAAUUCACCGUUGCUAAAGACGGCUCGAAUCCUAACGCGAAACCGCAUAGGUCCGGAUAGAUUUGAAACCACCUCCGAGGGUGGU
Gadus morhua (Atlantic cod) is the source of this 1681-nucleotide long non-coding RNA. The record is from Ensembl. Lineage: Eukaryota; Metazoa; Chordata; Actinopteri; Gadiformes; Gadidae.